Molecule: long non-coding RNA, 1812 nt
Organism: Pogoniulus pusillus (Red-fronted tinkerbird)
Lineage: Eukaryota; Metazoa; Chordata; Aves; Piciformes; Lybiidae
Exons: 2
Source: RefSeq, a predicted model, not a curated record
GCAUGCAGUGCAGGACAGAGAUCCUUUGCUCUUAAGCGAAACAGGAAGAAAAUACCGAAGAGACAGAGGGACAAAAAGCAGAGAAAAAGAGACAGCAGAGUGACCACACCAGAGAAACUGCAACCCCCUCACCCUUCUACAGUGAGGAUGCUGCUGAAUGGACGGCCCCAGGAGACUGCUAAGAAAGAAAAUCCUUCAUUUAGAAACCAUAUUUAUUUGCAAGCAACUUUUAUGUGCUCAGUUCAGAUAAAGCAAUGCAUGGAGCUGUGAUUUGGUACUAAUGUGAAGUGGCAUAGUUAGCAAAACAGUUUCAUUGAAUCUGCUUUACUAGGAUAGAGAAAUAUAGGAAAAUAAAUCAUCAUUGUUCCUAAUCUACUGUUCUGCUACUGCCACUUUGUCAUAACAUAUCCUCUGCAAAGUCAAUAACUACUGUCCUAACUAAAAUAAUGUAUUGAGCAUAUGCUGCCCUUCAGAAGACUGAGUAACAGAAGAUGUAACAGGAAUUCAUACAAGAUCAGCUGCAGUUUUCAGAAACAGCUUUAGACAUUGCAAACCAAUUUUACAUAUAAAAAAAAAAUUAGCUUAUCUGGCCAUUAGAUCAAACCCUGAAAUAAUUAUGCAUUGGACUUGAUGAAUGGCUAUUGGCUUAUUUGCAGAAUGGAUUGUGACCUUAGACUGGCUUCAAGGAUCAUGUUUUCUGGAUAGCUGUCCUCUAGAUGGUAGUAUUCAUGCCAAUGAAUCCAAACCUUAAUGAAGAGGAAAACCAAAACUGAUUUCUAUUACCAAGUUGUUCUGAGCAAGUAUGGUAUGUUCUUUCCAUACUAUUCCAUUCCAUAUCCUGGAAAGAAAACUUGCAUGGAGAAACUUUUCUAAGUGUUCCAAAUAAGCUGGAGACUGUGAGUAACCAGCGAUUGAACUCUUGACAGGGUUAAUAAAAAAUCUAAUAUGUAAUAAAUGUAAUUAUAAGUGAAUAACUUCUCCAUAUUCUUUUACUAGAUACAACUCUGCUGAUAAAGAAAUACAAAGGAUAAUCCUAUAAAUGCUGUGCAGAUUGUGGCUAUGUGGGUACUUGAAUGAUCUCAAAACCCAGCUCAGAUUUCAUUUCCUUAUGUGAAAAAUAGUACCCGUGUCAAUAUGAGACAAGGCAGAACAGAAUAUAAAAAUAGGAGAAAAUAAAAAUAUGACAAUAUGAGAAUGGCAAAGCAGGGUGUGUUGGAACUAACUAAAGUGGAGACAUUGAAAGCUACGAGCGGUAACACAAAACACUGUGGAAAGAUAACCCCCUUUCAAUAUGGGACGUGAGUAAAACAGGGGAACAGGGGUGUGUCAGAGCUAAGGAAGCUGGAGACGUUGGAACCUUCGGGUGAUAACACAAAGCGCUGUGAAGAGAUAGCGACCUGUCAAUGGGGGACGUAAACAAAACAGGGGUAUGCCAGGGCUAACUGAAGCCAAGCCAGGGACGAAUGAUAACAGAAAAGCACUAUGAGCAUGGUAGAUAAGAAACUGAAAAGCGCACGAACAUGAAGACACAAAGAGCUGAGUCAUAAGGACACCUGAGGAAGACUCGUUACUUCAGCCCCACGACCACCAGAGAGACCUCUAAGAGGAUUAACACGCAUGUGUAAAAGUUCCAGGAAAAACUGCAACCGUUUUGGGAAAUGAUAAAAUAUAUAUUAAACUGCUUUAUGAAUAUGUAUCUGAGCGGGAAAUAAAAACCCUGCAACUGCAUGUGUACAGUGUGCAGCUGUGGAGAUAAACUCCCCUGUGCCCAGCGCUGCUCCCUGCUUGCCAAAAUAAAACUCCUUAAACUUA